AUGGCCGCCGGGGGGCGCGCCCACGGCACGGCGCACGCGCGCCGCCGCCGGCCCGCCCCCUUUCCCGUCCUCCCGCGCGCCGGCCCCCGCCCCCUCGCCGGCGGCGCCCCCUCCCAGCGUCCUCGGCCUCACCCCCUUUCUGGCUGCUCCCGCCGGUCCCCGGCUCCGAGCCCGGAAGUGGAUAUCGCUGCUCGGCUGAGGGGGCGCGGGGGAGGGGGAAGUGCUUCCGGGGGAAACGGGCCCCGGGUUGGUGUUUGUAAACUUGCCUCGGUCCCGGCAGGGCAGCGGCGGGCCCCAGGCUUGGCACGGGGCGCUGGGGCCUGGAGGAGGCGCCGCGCGGCGGGGGGAGGCCGCGGGAGGCCGCGCCCGGCAGGUAGGGGCGCGCCUCGGGGAGCGCGGCGGCGUCCGGGCGGGCGGCAGCGCCUCGGCAGCGCGCAGGCCGUGGGGCGCCGCGCGGGAGGGGGAGGGGGAGGGGAAGGCGGGAGGGGGCCGGCCGGGGCGGGCCGGGGCGCGCCGGGAGCGCCGGGGACGCGCGCGCUGCGCCCCCCGCCCGCCUGGAGGGCCGCGUCCCCGGCCGGCGGAGGGGUGGCCUGGCGGGGGCGCGGGCGCGGGCGCGCUCGUCCUCGGGGCGGCUGGAGGGGAGGGGAGGGGGAGGAGGGGACGCGCGGCGCCGACCUGCCCGCCUGCCUGCCUCCCUCCUGCCGGCCUGCCCGCCUGCCUGCCCGCCCGCCUGCCCGCCUGCCUGCUGCCGGCCUGCUUGCCCGCCUGCCUCCUGCCUGCUGCCCGCCCGCCCGCCUGCCUCCUGCCGGCCUGCUUGCCCGCCUGCCUGCCCGCCCGCCUGCCCGCCGGCCUGCCUGCCCGCCCGCCUGCCCGCCGGCCUGCCUGCCUGCUUGCCGGCCUGCCCGCCUCCUGCCUGCUUACCCGCCUGCCUGCCUGCCUCCUGCCUGCCUCCUGCCCGCCUGCCUGCAUGCCCGCCUGCCUGCCUCCUGCCCGCCUGCUUGCAUGCCCCGCUUGCCCCGCCUCCCCGCCGCCGCAGCGAGUCUCCGUACCUUCGGGCGGACUCGGGGAGCGCGCACGUGUGGGCCGGCCCGGCGCACCCUGCCAGUCGGCCUGCUGCCUGGCUGCCCCGGCUGCCCGAGCGAGCGUCCGGCGGUCGCCUCCGAGCAUUUCUCUACUCCCCGGUGCUGGCCUCCUUAA
Molecule: long non-coding RNA, 1197 nt
Filed under: Canis lupus familiaris (dog)
Lineage: Eukaryota; Metazoa; Chordata; Mammalia; Carnivora; Canidae
Description: lncRNA (ENSCAFG00030013135.1)
Source: RNAcentral